This is an RNA transcript of Candoia aspera, 1393 nucleotides long. It is a transcript of the gene named NADPH oxidase activator 1-like, with no coding region annotated. NCBI's taxonomy places the organism in Eukaryota, Metazoa, Chordata, Lepidosauria, Squamata, Candoiidae. The transcript has 5 exons. The record is from RefSeq and is a predicted model, not a curated record.
CAGGACAGAGAGGGGCAGACGGGGCAGGUGCAAAAGGCCCCAAGUCUGAAUGUCUUCUAGAGGUACCUGUGGCUCCCACUACCCAUAGUUUCUACUUAAAAGUUCAUGGCUCUUUCUCUGUAAAUCGGAAGGUGAGCAGUCCCCCAUCCCUGGCUGAACUCAGCUCCAUAUUACAAGAAGAAUAUCGUCGGCAGGUUUCAACCAUGCAAGUGAGGUACAAAGCUCCAGGGAGCACUGAUUUAAUCACCAUUAACAGUGAUGAGGAACUAAGGAAUUUAUGGCAAGAGGUACAAGGGACCUAUCUGACCCUUUGGUGCCAGGGUGAAGAAGAACCUGUGGAUCGACCUGUACUUUACCGCAUGGUGGGAAAACACCCUUAUACCUCUGAGGCACCAGAAGACUUGAACUUCAAGGAUGGUGAUGUCCUGGAGAUUCUGUCUGAAGUGAACGGGGAAUGGCUGGAAGGCCAAUGCAACGGAAUUACGGGCAUCUUCCCAAAACGCUUUGCGGAGCUGGAAUGCCCUGCAUCCACCCGACUCUAGAGGAAGGGAGGAAGCCUUCUUUGCCAGGAUGAAGCCUCAGUUUCCCUGCUGUUGGGACACAGCACUGGGGCAUGGAUGUUCUGCAUCGUUGCUGCAUGGAUAGUGCAUUUAAUUAUUUGCAAGCACAUACUCACACCUGUUCACACACACCUCCAGUGCUCUUGAGCGUAUAAAAGAAAAUCGUGUUAUUGUCUUUGCCCCCAGAGAAAAUUGCUGUCAGUCUCCAUAACAUUCCAAAGAGGAAUUUCUGGUCAGAAUAGAAACCACCAAAGCCCAUAAUUCCCAUGCUGUGGUUGUGCUCAAUCCUAGUUUGCUUAAGUGUGACCUCAGUUCGUACAAAACAUUGAGUGAGACCCACCUGAGCAAAGUCACCUCUAGGGCAGCUUAUUAGCCUGUGGUGUGAAUGUAACUGCUAGGUCUUUCACUGACCUGGGUCCAGAAGGUUGUGUGAACUGAGCCUCUGCAUUCAUGGAAUUGUCUCAGAAGGCCCACUAAUUCCACCACCACCCCAGAUUCCUUACAUAAAUAAGAAUACUAGCAAUAUCUAGAAAGCUUUGGUGUGGGAUUUGAGGCAUGCCAAACCCAGGAUCUUUCUAACAGUCUUAUCAAAAUAAAUAAUCCCCAGUUUUGAAGGUUGGCAAUGGAGGCAAAGGUAGAAUUCAAACCAGAAACAUCCUGGUCCAUGCUGUAGGAUACAGCAGAGGGACCUCACAUUCCUUUCUAGAUGUGUUUUCUGAAAAUUAAUCCUUUUCCUUUGGCACGUGGAUGUUGUCAUCACUACUCCGAUGUUCCCUUAUUACACAGUAUUCUAAGAACCGUUUUCUCCUUGUUGAGCUCUGUGUGCCUUUUCC